CCCAUGUGUGUAUGUAAGCUAUCUCCAUGAUGACAUUCUUCCACGCCCUGAUUUUUUUACACAGACUGACCACCUAGCAAAUUACCUUCCCCUCGCAGGCUACCUGACAAGCUAGAAACCCAAGGGAGGGAAGAGGAGCAAAUCUCACCCUAUGGGACACCAAAAGCAGGUGAUGGGAACGGACCAGCGAAGGAGACUCCAGGACAAGAUCGGCUGCCUGGAUGUAGAAACCCGCUGAGCUGCCUGGAAGAGAUUUCGAGCAGUCACUUGGAAAGGACGCUCUCCAGCCUGCUGAGCUGCCUGCAGGCUGUGCAGUGUGCUCCAGGCUCCCAGACGUGUGAGCCGUCACCCAUGCUGAGGUGCGCUUUGGUGAUGCAGCUGCCUUUGAGUUGUUUCUUUUCCUGUAAGUUAACCCCUCACCGGUAUUCCUGCAAGUAACCCCAAUAAAACUCAGCCGUUGACCAG
This is a non-coding RNA of Peromyscus maniculatus bairdii (prairie deer mouse), 465 nucleotides long. The record is from RefSeq and is a predicted model, not a curated record. NCBI's taxonomy places the organism in Eukaryota, Metazoa, Chordata, Mammalia, Rodentia, Cricetidae.